This 254-nucleotide ribosomal RNA is filed under the name uncultured bacterium. RNAcentral's name for it is "partial 16S ribosomal RNA". It matches the Rfam family "Bacterial small subunit ribosomal RNA", at positions 524 to 776 of the family's 1533-position model. The record is from RNAcentral.
UACGUAGGGUGCGAGCGUUAAUCGGAAUUACUGGGCGUAAAGCGUGCGCAGGCGGUCUGUUAAGACCGAUGUGAAAUCCCCGGGCUUAACCUGGGAACUGCAUUGGUGACUGGCAGGCUUUGAGUGUGGCAGAGGGAGGUAGAAUUCCACGUGUAGCAGUGAAAUGCGUAGAGAUGUGGAGGAAUACCGAUGGCGAAGGCAGCCUCCUGGGCCAACACUGACGCUAAUGCACGAAAGCGUGGGGAGCAAACAGG